GUGGGGAAUAUUGGACAAUGGGGGCAACCCUGAUCCAGCCAUGCCGCGUGAGUGAAGAAGGCCUUCGGGUUGUAAAGCUCUUUCGACGGGGACGAUGAUGACGGUACCCGUAUAAGAAGCCCCGGCAAACUUCGUGCCAGCAGCCGCGGUAAUACGAAGGGGGCUAGCGUUGUUCGGAAUUACUGGGCGUAAAGCGCGCGUAGGCGGUGAUCUUUGUCAGAGGUGAAAGCCUGGGGCUCAACCCCAGAAUUGCCUUUGAAACGGGAUCGCUAGAGUCCGAGAGAGGAUGGCGGAAUUCCUAGUGUAGAGGUGAAAUUCGUAGAUAUUAGGAAGAACACCGGUGGCGAAGGCGGCCAUCUGGCUCGGUACUGACGCUCAGGCGCGAAAGCGUGGGGAGCAAACAGGAUUAGAAACCCGUGUAGUCC
This 425-nucleotide ribosomal RNA is filed under the name uncultured bacterium. RNAcentral's name for it is "partial 16S ribosomal RNA". It matches the Rfam family "Bacterial small subunit ribosomal RNA", at positions 354 to 796 of the family's 1533-position model. The record is from RNAcentral.